This is a long non-coding RNA of Pan troglodytes (chimpanzee), 3249 nucleotides long. RefSeq lists it as uncharacterized. Lineage: Eukaryota; Metazoa; Chordata; Mammalia; Primates; Hominidae. The record is from RefSeq and is a predicted model, not a curated record. The transcript has 2 exons.
UUUUUUUUUUUUUUUUUUUUUUGAGACGGAGUCUCGCUCUGUGGCCCAGGCUGGAGUGCAGUGGCGCCAUCUGGGCUCACUGCAAGCUCCGCCUCCCGGGUUCACGCCAUUCUCCUGCCUCAGCCUCCCGAGUAGCUGGGACUACAGGCGCCCGCUACCACGCCGGGCUAAUUUUUUUGUAUUUUUAGUAGAGACGGGGUUUCACUGUGUUAGCCAGGAUGGUCUCGAUCUCCUGACCUCGUGAUCCACCCGCCUGUGCCUCCCAAAGUGCUGGGAUUACAGGCAUGAGCCACUGCGCCCGGCCACAUUCGAUCUUUAAUCCAGUGUUUUAGUGGGUGUAGGUGUGACUUAGAAGCAGGCACAGUUCAUUAAAAAACAAAAAACACCAAAACCUUUUACAGGUUAUUCUCACAGAUAAAAAUUCUAUAGGCUACCAACAGAGGAAGUCUUUAUUGUUCCUGGGCGCUAGACCAUACACAGAAGGACCAUACUUGCUCUUUGCAGUCUCAUUCAGAAGCAGGAAAAGGGGGCUAUAUUGGAUUUGAAUAUGAAGGACAAAAGCAGCUCUGGAAACACCAAGUAAUAGUCUAUGUUACAGGUUUAACACACCCAUUUAAUCUCAUUGGAAAAAAUAAUGAAACUGGUGAAAAGCAUUUAUGGAACUGGAGGAGAGCAUAUUUUGCUGGUUUUACUUUUAUGUUUGAAGUUUUGGGUAUAGCUAUGCCCAUAAAUACUGAAAUGCCUAGCAUAAAGAACGCAGCCUGGGGCAUACCCCAUAAAACUUACAGUGCAAUUAAAUGAGCAAUUUCCACUGGAAAUAAAACAGGCAUGUUGAGUGGAAUAUGAAUUAAACUGCAUAUGACUCAGGCCUGCACUAGGCUUUAGAGAGAGAUCUGCUGGUUUCAGUAGCACCUGAUGCCGUCCAUCUAAAGGUCAAGGCCAGUAAGUAACAAAAGAAAACUGUAGUUAGCAUGAAGAUUAGGGCAUACCAAAUUGUGGUUAAUGUAGUUUCCCUGUCAUGAUGUCUCCUGAAAGGGACCAGCAAAAUUACGACUGAUAACAAAGGAUUAAACCUGACCUUUCUUUACAAUGCAGACACAUUGAGCUUCUGCGUCGUUUGCUAUGCAGCAUUUUUGACGCUUCCUCAAACUUCAUUUUCACUUUCUGAAUGUUCUCUCCCAGACCAAAGUCACCCAGGUGCCAUAAUAAAAGAGUUUCUAAGGGAGAUUUCAACUAGAAAACCAAAAGGCCAUCAAAACAAACAUUGAUUUGCAUUCCAGAUCACUUUCUGCUCUUGUUCAUUUCUGGGAUCUUAUUUGGAGAUUAAAGGGUAAUGAUUCACUGAUAUCCUGUGGGAAAACCAGUUCAGGAGCAGCCUUUGACAAACCACAUGUAGAAAUCUGGCUGAUAGAGGGAGAAAACAAGUUUCAAUCUUAUUUUUAGUGUAGGGUAAAGCAAGUCCACCCAAGAUAAAGCUUAGCAUUCUUUCUUUGAGGAAUUAGGGUAAGGGUGAAGAAAAGAAAGCUUGAUAUUUUUCUGCCUAUGAAAGCCAGAAGAAGGCUCAGAGAAGCCCGUUCCUUCUUUUCCUCUUUUUCCAAGUGCCAGACCUCCGCAGCUCCCAGAGGAAAUGAGGGCAUGGGGUGGGUAAUAGGGCAUGUGAUUUGAAUGAGUAUUCCCAGCCAUUUAAUAUAUUCACAAGUCAAACUAUAAAGUAUUUCUUUUAAAAAAUUAUAGUAUUUCACUGAAGUUUGAAUGUACUUUCUCUUGCCAAAAUAAUCAGAGUCUUUCAUUUUUCUAAUGAUAAAAAUGUGCUACAUGUGUAGGAAAAUUUCCCAAAUGAAAAAUAACAUUUUCUAUGGCAGCACAUACAGUGCUUGAAUUUUUCACCUUAGAUUUUAUUCUAGCCAGACCUAAACUCUGUCUUACUUGCAUAAUGAUAAUUCAUGUCGUCAAAUCAAACGCACUGUUUGCUGCUCGUUUGUCCAGGAGCCAUCUUUUCCUAAAGUGAGCAAUAUUACGUGCAUUUUGUCUGGCUGGCCGAGGGCUCCUCCCUACAGCUUCUGCAGCCAUGGAGGAGUCUGGAAGGACAGUGUUCGCUUGUACAAGAAGAGGGAAGGAUAGGAUGAGAAAAGCAAAAUCUUGGAGAGUCUGUGGUCGGAAGAAGAAAGCUGAAGCUAGUUAGGAGGAAGGAGUGUGUGAGUGAAUUAGGAGCUGAAGCAGUAAAGUAGCUUUCCCUGUGACCCUGAUGUGUCGGGCAUUUCUGUCUUAGACUAAAAGCAUAAUAAAAAAGGCACUUUAUUUAGGUUAACAGAGCAUUAUAUAACUGGAAAGUUUUACAGUUUUAUAUAUAUAGUGAAUAGUUUGUAGAGGAUAAAAAGACUUCCCUUUGGUUUAUUAUUUGGGUAAAAUAAAAACCCACGAAUUAUUUAAGGAUGCAUUUCUUUUUCUUUUUUCUGCCUUUUUUUUUUUUUAAGACAAAAGCUUGAAGGCAUAAAAUGGAGUUAUUUUCAUCGGGAUGUCACCCUCGAUGCUGCUGCUUUACUACAUGUUCAUAGUCAAAAUUAUUUCAUGUUUCCCUUGAAUAACUACGAUCAGUUUGAAAACAGCUUUGUUAAUUAGUAAGAGAUGACGCAAUAUAUCACUGCAUCUUUAGGGCUCUGGCGCCAGCUAGUGGUAGGAGAGGGGAGCCGCCCUGUCGCUCUCAAAUCUGGGAAGGCGUCGGUCUUCUCGCCUCCCCUUAUCCCUCAUCCUCCUCAUUUUUUUUCCAUCAGCAUAAUGGGGGAAUCAUUGCAGUGUGGCCAGAGAGGAGCAGACGAGAUUAUAGAUGAAAGUAGAGAAAAACGGUGGGCAGGGGCAGGGAGAGGAAAGGCCAGACAAAUGCAAUCAUUUCUCCAAAGGAUUUGAGAAGAGAUCAUUUAUUUGAAAUAUUCCUGCCAUGUUGAUGGAGCAGCUCAAUCUUUUGCCAGUGAAUUUUUAGCGUUUUGUUUUUUCAUUUGUAGAUAUGCUUGAACAUAUACUUAGGACACGUAAUAACUAUGGAACUUCAUCACAAACACAGCACUGAGGACAUGUUCUGAAUACAGACAAUAUGGAGGCCUCAGGCUCGGAGGAUGGCAGAGUCUUCAGAUGGAUGGAGGGAGCUGCAGUCACUGAACCACUGCAGGGAGAGAAGUACUCACAGACCUGGAACGCUCAACUUGGACUGUUAUGUGACAGAGUAACAAUAAACUUCUAUUUUGGUUUGAGUAA